Non-coding RNA from Cinara cedri, 1282 nucleotides. The record is from the annotation of a GenBank genome assembly. NCBI's taxonomy places the organism in Eukaryota, Metazoa, Arthropoda, Insecta, Hemiptera, Aphididae.
AAAAAAUACAUUUUUCAUAUUUUUUUUUUUUCAAACCGUUGAUCGUUCACGUACCCGCACGAUAAUUCGUACCCAUUAUACGGACAAUAAACAAUCCGAUCGACAAACAAUCGCCUACCGCACGCGCGCCCGCCGAUGUUCCCACAAACCGGACCGGCGGACAUAUACCGGGCGGCGAUCUGUUCGGUUUCAAUACGUUUCAAUUUUGAUUUUUCCACUCUGCGUUCCCAUUUCGUACGCGGCCGUAUUUAUUCCGCGGUGUUCUCUGUCUAUGUUCGAUGCGUACGAACCGACCGGUCGACAGUAUCCGCGUACGCCGGAAUAUUCUCAUUGACAAAUACAGGGUAAUUUAUUUCAACUCCUUAAGUGAAACGCCGUUUUACGGGCCGGCACGUCUUGCCGUGAUUGUCAAAUUACCGGUCGCCCGGAAAAUAAUAAUAUUCUCCCGCGCAAGAGCCGUUCGCUCGUCCGGCCGUUUUGUACUGGACGGUCCGCGUUGUCGGCCGAAAGUUUAGCGGGCGCGGUCCGGUUCCGAAAAUCCGCGGACCCGAAAACAUCGCCGCAGAGCCCAUGCGCCCCGGUCGGCCGCGUGCGAGAGCCGAGACGGCACGUCGCGUCGGUAUCGUAUGUUAUGGUUUCGGGGCGGACACGUUAUCGCGGUACUGUACUUGCAAAGAAUAAAAAAAAAAAACAAAAAGGGAGAAAAACAAAAAACGAAAACCGUUACGGUGUUCGCGCGUGUCGUCGCGAUAUUGCCGUCGUCGUAGUCGGCGUUUUAUACGGGCGCGCGCAAUACGCGUAACAACGACGAUAACGUAAACGCGCGGGGACUUGUGCGCAUUGUCGGGUCGCCUGUAGAAAAAAAACAAAAAACUAAACAAAACUCUCUUCGGACGUCGUGUCAUCGUGACGGCGCGACCGCGGCGCAGUCGCGCGGACGCCGCAUUUACGGGGUUCCUCUGCCGCGCGUUAUCCGAUCCACGACCGGAGCCGCCCGACGUUUCGAAAAUAGAAAAAACGAUUUAUUUUUUUUUUUUUUUUUUUUCUGUUUACCCGUCCGUUUCGAUAUUACAAUGCGUACGGUGCGCGUGCGGGCGGGUACGGCGACGGCGGCGGCGUAAACGUGUGCGACUCGGGAGUCUUUUCAGCCGUAUAAUAUAAUCGCGGAUCCGAAUCGGGAGGUAUCGGUAGAGGCAGGCCGAUAUAUUAUUUUUAUUAUUAUUGUUGUUGUUGUAAUAUUUUCUCGUGCGGCGUGUGCAGACGGCGGUUUCCUCCUCCUCCU